GUAAAAAGCAUGAAAGUUUCUAAAAAUGUGCAGCUGCUAUUCUGAAAAUUCCAGUAAUGUGAAUAGGCUGUCAUGACACUUUGAGGGAGUCUCUGAUAAGAUUGAAGUCACAAUGUGAAACUGUUGAUUUGAACCCAAAAGGGGACAAAACAUGGGCCUGAAGUCAGCAACUGUACCAUACUCCGGACUUGAAGCUAGAAACUAAAAGUAUAUGCACAUUGCCAGCCAGAUCUUUACCCUGCUUCUGACCAAGCUUCUGGAACGUGUGCUUCAAAUUGCAUGCUCCUGGACAAUGGCACAGCAUGGUGUUUUCACUGAGGAAACAUUCUCCUCAACCAGAAAAGUACACUUUGUUGCUCGAAGGAGUAAAGGUAAGACCUUGACUUAUAAAUAACCUACAUGACUUUAAAACAACCUGCACUUUUAUGUAUUCCAAUAUGAUGACCCCAGUUUGCAGACUCUGAACUUCUACUUAUCACCUGGUGAACACACAUUCAGAGGUAUCUCCUGCUGACGUACUGGCCAACCAACAUACCCUUUACUUAUUUGUUUAAAAGAAUUUUUUUUAAUGUUUAUUUAUUUUUGAGAGACACAGAGAGAGAGAGAGAGUGAGAGAGAGAGAACGAGCUGGGGAAGAGCAGAGAGAGGGAGACAGAAUCCAAAGCAGGCUCCAGGCUCUGAGCUGUCAGCACAGAGCCUGACGCGGGGCUCGAACCCACAAACUGUGAGAUCAUGACCUGUGCCAAAGUCGGACACUUGACUGACUGAGCCACCCAGGGGCCCUUCAACACAGUACUUUAAACUAAGCUGCUUUCGUGUUUGUUUGUUUGUUUGUCUUCAGAAAUGUUCAUAAAACUCUGAAUUGAUUGCUUUAUUAUAUUUUGUCAUUGUUUUAAAUAAUUAGUAACAGAAAAGCGAUACUAGCCAUAUGACAAUUGUAGCCGCUGCAAAUAAUUAGCUGUGACCAGGGGUUUAGCUUCAGUUGUAAGCAAGUACUUUUGACCUAAGUCUGUCAGGUAUGUAUUAACUUCCGAGGGAAAUUUAAAG
RNAcentral lists this long non-coding RNA (1047 nucleotides) under Felis catus (domestic cat). RNAcentral describes it as "lncRNA (ENSFCAG00000049294.1)". The record is from RNAcentral. Lineage: Eukaryota; Metazoa; Chordata; Mammalia; Carnivora; Felidae.